UACGAAAGGGGCAAGCGUUGUUCGGAUUUACUGGGCGUAAAGGGCACGCAGGCGGUCUUGCCAGUCAGGGGUGAAAGCACGGGGCUCAACCCCGGAACUGCCUCUGAUACUGCAGGACUAGAGACUAGGAGAGGGUGGUGGAAUUCCCAGUGUAGAGGUGAAAUUCGUAGAUAUUGGGAGGAACACCAGAGGCGAAGGCGGCCACCUGGACUAGAUCUGACGCUCAGGUGCGAAAGCGUGGGGAGCAAACAGG
RNAcentral lists this ribosomal RNA (253 nucleotides) under uncultured microorganism. Its description in RNAcentral is "partial 16S ribosomal RNA". It matches the Rfam family "Bacterial small subunit ribosomal RNA", at positions 524 to 776 of the family's 1533-position model. The record is from RNAcentral.